RNAcentral lists this ribosomal RNA (475 nucleotides) under uncultured bacterium. Its description in RNAcentral is "bacterial SSU rRNA". It matches the Rfam family "Bacterial small subunit ribosomal RNA", at positions 28 to 473 of the family's 1533-position model. The record is from RNAcentral.
GACGAACGCUGGCGGCGUGCUUAACACAUGCAAGUCGAACGAAGAGCGAUGGAAGCUUGCUUCUAUCAAUCUUAGUGGCGAACGGGUGAGUAACGCGUAAUCAACCUGCCCUUCAGAGGGGGACAACAGUUGGAAACGACUGCUAAUACCGCAUACGAUCUAAUCUCGGCAUCGAGGAUAGAUGAAAGGUGGCCUCUACAUGUAAGCUAUCACUGAAGGAGGGGAUUGCGUCUGAUUAGCUAGUUGGAGGGGUAACGGCCCACCAAGGCGAUGAUCAGUAGCCGGUCUGAGAGGAUGAACGGCCACAUUGGGGCUGAGACACGGCCCAGACUCCUACGGGAGGCAGCAGUGGGGAAUCUUCCGCAAUGGACGAAAGUCUGACGGAGCAACGCCGCGUGAGUGAUGACGGCCUUCGGGUUGUAAAGCUCUGUUAAUCGGGACGAAAGGCCUUCUUGCGAAUAGUGAGAAGGAUGAC